RNAcentral lists this ribosomal RNA (1540 nucleotides) under Neisseria gonorrhoeae. RNAcentral's name for it is "bacterial SSU rRNA". It matches the Rfam family "Bacterial small subunit ribosomal RNA". Lineage: Bacteria; Pseudomonadati; Pseudomonadota; Betaproteobacteria; Neisseriales; Neisseriaceae. The record is from RNAcentral.
GAACAUAAGAGUUUGAUCCUGGCUCAGAUUGAACGCUGGCGGCAUGCUUUACACAUGCAAGUCGGACGGCAGCACAGGGAAGCUUGCUUCUCGGGUGGCGAGUGGCGAACGGGUGAGUAACAUAUCGGAACGUACCGGGUAGCGGGGGAUAACUGAUCGAAAGAUCAGCUAAUACCGCAUACGUCUUGAGAGGGAAAGCAGGGGACCUUCGGGCCUUGCGCUAUCCGAGCGGCCGAUAUCUGAUUAGCUGGUUGGCGGGGUAAAGCCCACCAAGGCGACGAUCAGUAGCGGGUCUGAGAGGAUGAUCCGCCACACUGGGACUGAGACACGGCCCAGACUCCUACGGGAGGCAGCAGUGGGGAAUUUUGGACAAUGGGCGCAAGCCUGAUCCAGCCAUGCCGCGUGUCUGAAGAAGGCCUUCGGGUUGUAAAGGACUUUUGUCAGGGAAGAAAAGGCCGUUGCCAAUAUCGGCGGCCGAUGACGGUACCUGAAGAAUAAGCACCGGCUAACUACGUGCCAGCAGCCGCGGUAAUACGUAGGGUGCGAGCGUUAAUCGGAAUUACUGGGCGUAAAGCGGGCGCAGACGGUUACUUAAGCAGGAUGUGAAAUCCCCGGGCUCAACCCGGGAACUGCGUUCUGAACUGGGUGACUCGAGUGUGUCAGAGGGAGGUGGAAUUCCACGUGUAGCAGUGAAAUGCGUAGAGAUGUGGGGGAAUACCGAUGGCGAAGGCAGCCUCCUGGGAUAACACUGACGUUCAUGUCCGAAAGCGUGGGUAGCAAACAGGAUUAGAUACCCUGGUAGUCCACGCCCUAAACGAUGUCAAUUAGCUGUUGGGCAACUUGAUUGCUUGGUAGCGUAGCUAACGCGUGAAAUUGACCGCCUGGGGAGUACGGUCGCAAGAUUAAAACUCAAAGGAAUUGACGGGGACCCGCACAAGCGGUGGAUGAUGUGGAUUAAUUCGAUGCAACGCGAAGAACCUUACCUGGUUUUGACAUGUGCGGAAUCCUCCGGAGACGGAGGAGUGCCUUCGGGAGCCGUAACACAGGUGCUGCAUGGCUGUCGUCAGCUCGUGUCGUGAGAUGUUGGGUUAAGUCCCGCAACGAGCGCAACCCUUGUCAUUAGUUGCCAUCAUUCGGUUGGGCACUCUAAUGAGACUGCCGGUGACAAGCCGGAGGAAGGUGGGGAUGACGUCAAGUCCUCAUGGCCCUUAUGACCAGGGCUUCACACGUCAUACAAUGGUCGGUACAGAGGGUAGCCAAGCCGCGAGGCGGAGCCAAUCUCACAAAACCGAUCGUAGUCCGGAUUGCACUCUGCAACUCGAGUGCAUGAAGUCGGAAUCGCUAGUAAUCGCAGGUCAGCAUACUGCGGUGAAUACGUUCCCGGGUCUUGUACACACCGCCCGUCACACCAUGGGAGUGGGGGAUACCAGAAGUAGGUAGGGUAACCGCAAGGAGUCCGCUUACCACGGUAUGCUUCAUGACUGGGGUGAAGUCGUAACAAGGUAGCCGUAGGGGAACCUGCGGCUGGAUCACCUCCUUU